This is a long non-coding RNA of Mesocricetus auratus (golden hamster), 1734 nucleotides long. RefSeq lists it as uncharacterized. NCBI's taxonomy places the organism in Eukaryota, Metazoa, Chordata, Mammalia, Rodentia, Cricetidae. The record is from RefSeq and is a predicted model, not a curated record. The transcript is spliced from 2 exons.
CAAGGCCAAGAGCCCAUGCACUUUGUUUCCCCUGUCAUGUGAUUUAUUUUUGGACUAGACACACAGGCUAUUUGGGGGCUGGACAUUUGCCAGGUGAAAGGACAAGUAUGUUGGCCAAGUUGUGUCAAAGCCCUGCUGGGAACUCGCCCUUCCCCCGUAUGAGAUAGAGGGGUGGGGGUCUUGCCCUAAGCAACUUUUGCAGCGCCCCAGCCGCCCUUUGAAACUUCACAGAGCAAGCGUGUAAUGGAAACUGUCUUCAUUUCUGCACAUGAGAGUCUCAAAAUGCAUGCUGUCCAUCACUGCAAACAUCUAAGCAUCUCCAGGCACCUACGACUUUCAACCUCAAGGGCAGCAUCUCCUCCUUAUUGUUAAAGGGAAGGUUCUUCAAGUUCACCUGCAACCAGAGCCAGACGGAGGUGGCACAUGCCUUUAAUCCAAGCACGAGUGAGAUGGAGGCAGGUGGAUCUCUGAGUUUGAGGCCAGCCUGGUCUACAGAGUGAGUUCCAGGACAGUCAGGGAUAUGCAGAGGGACUCUGUCUCAAAACACUAAAAACAAACAAAUACAUAGAUAAAAUCACCUGCACCGAAGUUUGUAAGUUCUUCCUGGGGUCUGCUUUCCUUAUCCCAGCCCCUCUUCUAACCAGCUUACCUCCUUACCCAGGAAGAGCAUCCCCCACCCCGGCCCCGCCCAUCCUCCAUCUUUAACUCAGGAAAGAGCAAGAUAUGCUGUGGUUAUGAAUACUCUACCAGUGACUUGAAGUAACAAAGGCUGGGAAAUCUUGAUUGUCAACUUGAGAUACUUGGAUGGAAACAAGCCUCUAGAUGUGUCUGUGAAGGUGUUUCCAGAGAAAAUUCACCCAGGGCUGGAAAGAUCUUCCCUCUGUGGGUACCACGUCUCCCUGGCAGCCCAGACGUGAAGAGGUGGAAGGGGGCAAUGGUGUCAGCUGCCGCCUUUACUGCUCCACGAGAAAGUGCAUCUAGGGAUGCUGUGCUGGCCUCCAUCAACAGACUCAGCUUCUCCAUCAACAGACUCCAGCUUCUCCAUCAAAAGACUCCAGCUUCUCCAUCAACAGACUCCAGCUUCUCCAUCAACAGACUCCAGCUUCUCUGGCCUUCCAAUGUGAAUUUCACUCUCCAGGAACUGCACCGGCCUUCAGUGUCAGAUUGAGACUGCUAAAUCAUCCAGCUUCAUAGACUAGGCAACUAUCGGGUCUCUGUCUUUCCAGAACUCCAGCACAUAGGUGGCCAUUGUUGGACUACCCAGACAUAUUAUAGAAGCCAAAUCUAAUAAGCUCCCAUUGCAUCACACACACACACACACACACACACACACACACACACACACACACGUACAUGCUCAUGCAUUCCAUUGAUUGUGUCCAUCUAGAUAACUCUGCCUCUGCUUAAUACAAUCACCAGUAUGGACACAUCCGUUUGCAGUUGGCUGUAGGACUGGCUCCGUGCCAUCCUCACUCAAGUACUUGGACUGAAGGAGCUCAAAAGCUAUGCUUUGGGGAAGGAGAGAAAAGAUGCUUACCAAUACGCUGAAAGUUACUUCUCACAUUUCAGUGGCCAAAGAAAGUCAUAUGUGUGACUUUACUGUACAGAAAGUGAGGUAGGACAUUUCAGGGCUGUUGCUUUCUUGUACAGUUGCUAUGCCAUAAAUAUUUAGAGAACAUGAAUUCUGUAAUUGUUGGGUCCACAGAAUAAAGUUUGCUAAGCUUGUUGAAAUUA